RNAcentral lists this ribosomal RNA (388 nucleotides) under uncultured bacterium. Its description in RNAcentral is "bacterial SSU rRNA". It matches the Rfam family "Bacterial small subunit ribosomal RNA", at positions 28 to 417 of the family's 1533-position model. The record is from RNAcentral.
GACGAACGCUGGCGGCGUGCUUAACACAUGCAAGUCGAGCGGUAAGGCCCUUUCGGGGGUACACGAGCGGCGAACGGGUGAGUAACACGUGGGUGACCUGCCCUCAGCUCUGGGAUAAGCCUGGGAAACCGGGUCUAAUACUGGAUAUGACUCCAUGACGCAUGUUGUGGGGUGGAAAGCCUUGUGCGGCUGAGGAUGGGCCCGCGGCCUAUCAGCUUGUUGGUGGGGUGAUGGCCUACCAAGGCGACGACGGGUAGCCGGCCUGAGAGGGCAACCGGCCACACUGGGACUGAGACACGGCCCAGACUCCUACGGGAGGCAGCAGUGGGGAAUCUUGCGCAAUGGGCGAAAGCCUGACGCAGCGACGCCGCGUGAGGGAUGACGGCCU